Molecule: long non-coding RNA, 892 nt
Organism: Mastomys coucha (southern multimammate mouse)
Lineage: Eukaryota; Metazoa; Chordata; Mammalia; Rodentia; Muridae
Exons: 3
Source: RefSeq, a predicted model, not a curated record
CAGGCGCAAGCGCGUGCGCAGUGCUCUCUGCUGCAGACUGUCCUGCAAGCCCUGCAGACAGCCCCCGCCAGCACCGCUCUCUCUCAGGAACAGACUAUUGCCGUGGCUGCUCAUCGCGUCUCUGCGGGGGACAGAAGAAACCAGACCUGGUGCACCUAUGCAGGUCAGAGACAACUUUUGGGAGUCCAUUUUCUUCCUCCAUCAUGUAAGUCCCAGGGAUUAAAUUUAGGACUUUAGGUUUGAUGGCAAGCACCUUUACCCACUGAGCCAUCUUGUAUCCUUGUGCUAGGCCCUAAAAGUAAUGUAGAGAUGAGUUAAAUAUAUAAUAAAGCAAGAAUGGGUCCUUCGCAAAUACGAUGCCAUUUCAUGUAAAAGACUUGCGCAUACAGGGGUUUCAGAGUCUAUCCAGGAUGGAAUGUGUACCUGGAACAAAGUCCCCACGGAGUUUAAGAGACCUAAAAACAUCUAAAUCAGAGGGAGUUGGCAUGUGAUAGUCUGUGAGCAAAGUCGGGCCUGAUGUCUGUUUGGCUGGCAUUUUUUAAUCAUGGUAUUAGCACACAGCUCAUUCAAGUCAUUGUGUUUCUGCAGCUGCUUUCAGGCUGCAGUGGCAAGGACAAGUUGCUGAAAUAGAGAUCACAAAACAAUUUACAAAAGUGACUCUAACUUUACAAAAGUGAGGAGUGGAGAGGACCACAUGGCUUGUGGACACUGGAUAAUUGCUCCCACUCACAGGGCAUAGUAAAAUCUUCCAGAACAUGAAGGUAAUGCAGGAUGCCAGAUCAAGUUCCCCAACACUCCCAUCCCCAUUAAACACUUGGCACUCCUUUGUGCUGGGAGCAUUCAAACGGCUGUCUUCUAAUCCUUUAUAAAAGAAUAAACUGUUGAGUACUAU